Molecule: ribosomal RNA, 484 nt
Filed under: uncultured bacterium
Lineage: Bacteria
Description: partial 16S ribosomal RNA
Rfam family: Bacterial small subunit ribosomal RNA
Source: RNAcentral
AUUGAACGCUGGCGGCGGGCCUAACACAUGCAAGUCGAGCGGAAAGAGGGUGCUUUUUCCUGGCUUCCGCGGGGGGCGGGUGUGUGAUGCAUAGGAGUAUGCCUGGCAGUGGGGUAUGAUGUCUGGAGGCGAGCGCUGAUAACACACACGAGCAGAGGGUGAAACAGGGGGGUCGUUGGAACGCUACGUAUUAGCUGAGCCUAGGUCGGGUUAGCUAGUUGGUGGGGUAAGGGCCUACCAAGGCGACGUUCCGCAACUGGUCUGAGAGGAUGAUCAGCCACACUGGAACUGGGACACGGUCCAGACGCCUACGGGAGGGAGCAGUGGGGAAUAUUGGGCAAUGGGCGAAAGCCUGAUCCAGCCAUGCCGCGUGUGUGAAGAAGGUCUUCGGAUUGUAAAGCACUUUUACUUGGGAGGAACCGCUGUAGGUUAAUACCUUGCGGUAUUGACGGUACCGACUGAAUAAGCACCGGCUAACUACGUG